Molecule: ribosomal RNA, 428 nt
Filed under: uncultured bacterium
Lineage: Bacteria
Description: partial 16S ribosomal RNA
Rfam family: Bacterial small subunit ribosomal RNA
Source: RNAcentral
GUGGGGAAUAUUGGGCAAUGGGCGCAAGCCUGACCCAGCAACGCCGCGUGAAGGAAGAAGGCUUUCGGGUUGUAAACUUCUUUUACCAGGGACGAAACAAAUGACGGUACCUGGUGAAUAAGCCACGGCUAACUACGUGCCAGCAGCCGCGGUAAUACGUAGGUGGCGAGCGUUAUCCGGAUUUAUUGGGUGUAAAGGGCGUGUAGGCGGGACAGCAAGUCAGAUGUGAAAACCAGAGGCUCAACCUCUGGCCUGCAUUUGAAACUGUUGUUCUUGAGUGUCGGAGAGGUAAUCGGAAUUCCGUGUGUAGCGGUGAAAUGCGUAGAUAUACGGAGGAACACCAGUGGCGAAGGCGGAUUACUGGACGAUGUCUGACGCUGAGGCGCGAAAGCUAGGGGAGCGAACGGGAUUAGAUACCCCUGUAGUCC